RNAcentral lists this transfer RNA (63 nucleotides) under Grylloblatta sculleni. RNAcentral describes it as "tRNA-Pro". Lineage: Eukaryota; Metazoa; Arthropoda; Insecta; Grylloblattodea; Grylloblattidae. The record is from RNAcentral.
CAGAAGGUAGUUUAUAUUAAAAUGUUAGUUUUGGGGAUUAAUGAAGGGGCAUCCUUCUUCUGA